RNAcentral lists this ribosomal RNA (292 nucleotides) under uncultured bacterium. RNAcentral describes it as "partial 16S ribosomal RNA". The record is from RNAcentral. RNAcentral also lists the same sequence under 1 other name.
GGACUACUGGGGUUUCUAAUCCUGUUUGCUCCCCACGCUUUCGUGCCUGAACGUCGGUGCUGGACCAGGAAGCCGCUUUCGCCACUGGUGUUCCUUCCGAUAUCUACGCAUUUCACCGCUACACCGGAAAUUCCGCUUCCCUCUUCCGCACCCUAGCAGAGCAGUCUCGAAUGCAAUUCCCAGGUUGAGCCCGGGGCUUUCACACCCGACUUACGCUACCGUCUACGCACGCUUUACGCCCAGUAAUUCCGAUUAACGCUUGCACCCUCUGUAUUACCGCGGCUGCUGGCAC